CGAGACCUCAGGUCAGGCGGGGCUACCCGCUGAAUUUAAGCAUAUCAAUAAGCGGAGGAAAAGAAACUAACAAGGAUUCCCUUAGUAAC
Molecule: ribosomal RNA, 89 nt
Filed under: Astragalus glycyphylloides
Lineage: Eukaryota; Viridiplantae; Streptophyta; Magnoliopsida; Fabales; Fabaceae
Description: partial 26S ribosomal RNA
Rfam family: Eukaryotic large subunit ribosomal RNA
Source: RNAcentral